GACGAACGCUGGCGGCGUGCUUAACACAUGCAAGUCGAACGGAAAGGCCCUGCUUUUGUGGGUUGCUCGAGUGGCGAACGGGUGAGUAACACGUGAGUAACCUGCCCUUGACUUUGGGAUAACUUCAGGAAACUGGGGCUAAUACCGGAUAUGAUCUCCUGCUGCAUGGUGGGCGUUGGUAAGUUUCGGCGGUUGGGGAUGGACUCGCGGCUUAUCCGCUUGUUGGUGGGGUAGUGGCUUACCAAGGCUUUGAAGGGUAGCCUGCCUGAGAGGGGGACCGGCGACAAUGGGACUGAGAGACGGCGCAGAAUCCAACGGGAGGCAGUAGUGGGGAACAUGGCGCAAUGGGCGGAAGUCAGUGGCAGCAGUGCCGCGUGCGGGAUGACGGCCUUUGGGUUGUAAACAGCUGUCGACUGUGACGAAGCGUGAGUGACGGUAAUGGGUAAAGAAGCACCGGCUAACUACGUG
This 468-nucleotide ribosomal RNA is filed under the name uncultured bacterium. Its description in RNAcentral is "partial 16S ribosomal RNA". It matches the Rfam family "Bacterial small subunit ribosomal RNA", at positions 28 to 507 of the family's 1533-position model. The record is from RNAcentral.